Molecule: ribosomal RNA, 468 nt
Filed under: uncultured bacterium
Lineage: Bacteria
Description: partial 16S ribosomal RNA
Rfam family: Bacterial small subunit ribosomal RNA
Source: RNAcentral
GACGAACGCUGGCGGCGUGCUUAACACAUGCAAGUCGAACGGAAAGGCCCUGCUUUUGUGGGGUGCUCGAGUGGCGAACGGGUGAGUAACACGUGAGUAACCUGCCCUUGACUUUGGGAUAACUUCAGGAAACUGGGGCUAAUCCCGGAUAGGAGCUCCUGCUGCAUGGUGGGGGUUGGACAGCUUCGGCGGUUGGAGAUGAACUCGCGGGUGAUCAGCUUGUCGGUGGGGUAGUGGCCUACCAAGGCUUUGACGGGUAGCCGGCCUGAGGGGGUGGCCGGCCAGAUUGGGGCUGGAAUACGGCCCAGCCUCCUACGGGAGGCAGCAGUGGGGAGUAUUGCACAAUGGGCGGAAGCCUGAUGCAGCAACGCCGCGUGCGGGAUGACGGCCUUCGGGUUGUAAACCGCUUUCGCCUGUGACGAAGCGUGAGUGACGGUAAUGGGUAAAGAAGCACCGGCUAACUACGUG